Molecule: long non-coding RNA, 417 nt
Filed under: Ananas comosus (pineapple)
Lineage: Eukaryota; Viridiplantae; Streptophyta; Magnoliopsida; Poales; Bromeliaceae
Description: long non-coding RNA (ACOM_LNC005934)
Source: RNAcentral
UAAAAUGCGCAAAACUUAUUUAGACUAUGAAUCAUAUUGAAUCAACUAUUCAAUCUUUUAAAUUUUUUAUUUUACUAUUCAAACUUUCAAUUUGUUUGAUUUAAGUCAGUUUACGCUAGAUUAACUUCAAAAUUUCAGCUUACUGUUUUCAUUAAUAAAGUUAUAGUUGCAAGAACUAAAUGAAAUAUAUUAAUUAAAUCUAUAACGAUAAACGAUGUAUUCAAAUUUUGAAGUUGAUAUACUGUUUAUUGAUUCAAAUCAAACAAAUUGAAAAAUUGAAUGGUAAAAUCACAAUUUUAAAUAUUAGGUAGUUGAUUCAAAAUAGUCAAAAGUUUAGAUAAGUUAUGUAUGUUUUUAUCAUAAAAAAAAAUUAUAAGUUUUUUUGUUAAUGUUGGUUAGAAAUGUUUCUGUUUUUGU